RNAcentral lists this ribosomal RNA (497 nucleotides) under uncultured bacterium. Its description in RNAcentral is "partial 16S ribosomal RNA". It matches the Rfam family "Bacterial small subunit ribosomal RNA", at positions 28 to 507 of the family's 1533-position model. The record is from RNAcentral.
GAUGAACGCUGGCGGCGUGCCUAAUACAUGCAAGUCGAGCGAACGGACGAGAAGCUUGCUUCUCUGAUGUUAGCGGCGGACGGGUGAGUAACACGUCGAUAACCUACCUAUAAGACUGGGAUAACUUCGGGAAACCGGAGCUAAUACCGGAUAAUAUUUUGAACCGCAUGGUUCAAAAGUGAAAGACGGUCUUGCUGUCACUUAUAGAUGGAUCCGCGCUGCAUUAGCUAGUUGGUAAGGUAACGGCUUACCAAGGCAACGAUGCAUAGCCGACCUGAGAGGGUGAUCGGCCACACUGGAACUGAGACACGGUCCAGACUCCUACGGGAGGCAGCAGUAGGGAAUCUUCCGCAAUGGGCGAAAGCCUGACGGAGCAACGCCGCGUGAGUGAUGAAGGUCUUCGGAUCGUAAAACUCUGUUAUUAGGGAAGAACAUAUGUGUAAGUAACUGUGCACAUCUUGACGGUACCUAAUCAGAAAGCCACGGCUAACUACGUG